GUGAGACUGCGGGCGACAAGGUUCGUAGUCGAGAGGGAAACAGCCCAGACCGCCGGCUAAGGUCCCGAAUGUAUGCUAAGUGUAAAAUGAUGUGCCGAUGGCGAAGACAGCCAGGAGGUUGGCUUAGAAGCAGCCAUUCCUUAAAAGAGUGCGUAAUAGCUCACUGGUCGAGUCAUGACGCGCAGACAAUGUAACGGGGCUAAGCAUACAACCGAAGCCGCGGAUUUCACCAAGCAAUCUUUCGGAUGGUAGGGGAGCAUUCCACGGACCGACGAAGGUAUACUGUAAGGUGUGCUGGAGGGGGUGGAAGAGAGAAUGCAGGUAUAAGUAGACGAAAAGAAGGGUGAGAUCCCCUCCGCCGAAAGCCUAAGGAUUCCUGGGUAAAGGUCAUCUGCCCAGGGUAAGUCGGCCCCUAAGGCGAGGACGAAAGUCGUAAUCGAUGGGAAACUGGUUCAAAUUCCAGUACCUUUCUUGGUUUUUAUGGAAUGACCCCGGAGGUGAACCCCGGCCGGCCAACGGUUGCCCCGGUCAAACCUUCAAGUUAUGCGCGGUGUAGGCGAAUCCGCAUUGGAAGAUGAGAAGCGACACCGAGCGCAGCUACGGCGAACCGAAGCGGGCGUAGUCCCGGUGCCUAAAAAUAAUCUCUAAAGCCAGGCUGAACAAGACCGUACCGGAAACCGGCACAGGUGGGCGGGAUGAGAAAGCUCAGGCGCUA
RNAcentral lists this ribosomal RNA (715 nucleotides) under uncultured Treponema sp. Its description in RNAcentral is "partial 23S ribosomal RNA". It matches the Rfam family "Bacterial large subunit ribosomal RNA", at positions 983 to 1691 of the family's 2925-position model. Lineage: Bacteria; Pseudomonadati; Spirochaetota; Spirochaetia; Treponematales; Treponemataceae. The record is from RNAcentral.